RNAcentral lists this ribosomal RNA (404 nucleotides) under Verrucomicrobiota bacterium. RNAcentral's name for it is "Verrucomicrobia bacterium partial 16S ribosomal RNA". It matches the Rfam family "Bacterial small subunit ribosomal RNA", at positions 355 to 776 of the family's 1533-position model. Lineage: Bacteria; Pseudomonadati; Verrucomicrobiota. The record is from RNAcentral.
UGGGGAAUAUUGGACAAUGGGCGCAAGCCUGAUCCAGCCAUGCCGCGUGAGUGAUGAAGGCCCUAGGGUUGUAAAGCUCUUUCACCGGUGAAGAUAAUGACGGUAACCGGAGAAGAAGCCCCGGCUAACUUCGUGCCAGCAGCCGCGGUAAUACGAAGGGGGCUAGCGUUGUUCGGAUUUACUGGGCGUAAAGCGCACGUAGGCGGACUUUUAAGUCAGGGGUGAGAUCCCGGGGCUCAACCCCGGAACUGCCUUUGAUACUGGAAGUCUUGAGUAUGGUAGAGGUGGGUGGAAUUCCGAGUGUAGAGGUGAAAGUCGUGGAUAUUCGGAGGAACACCAGUGGCGAAGGCGGCUCACUGGACCAUUACUGACGCUGAGGUGCGAAAGCGUGGGGAGCAAACAGG